Long non-coding RNA from Solanum pennellii, 2569 nucleotides. RefSeq lists it as uncharacterized. The transcript has 3 exons. NCBI's taxonomy places the organism in Eukaryota, Viridiplantae, Streptophyta, Magnoliopsida, Solanales, Solanaceae. The record is from RefSeq and is a predicted model, not a curated record.
GUGAUCUCCUGACAACCACUAGCAUUGAAGAUUCUAGUUCAUCUGAUAAAACUGGCUCUCACUAGGAAAAAAAUUCUAUUAGCUCAGCCAGAUGCUUCAGGGUGGAACUAACCCCCGACAACAUUGCAGUUGCUAUGGUAUAUAUUGUUCAAGGUGUCUUAGGCCUUUCAGAUCUUGCUGUUAGCUUUUAUUUGAAAGAUGACUACUGCAGAGUGGCACCUCUUCUUUGGAUUGAGUACAAUGACUGACACAUCAUCUGUGGCUAACUAGACAGCUGUGAUAUCUGGUUUCUCAUCAUUGCCAUGGCUUGCAAAACCGUUAUAUGGAUUCAUUAGUGAUUCCUUCCCACUCGUUGGAUACCGGAGAAGGUCAUAUUUGGUACUAUCAGGACUUUUUGGAGCUCUCUCAUGGUUUUUGAUGGCCACUUUUGUAGACAGCAAGUAUGGUGCUGCUUUUUGCAUACUUAUUGGUUCUCUUUCUGUUUCUUUCUCAGCUGUCGUAAGUAAGUUCCUUUUGGUUCUAGUUGGUUUCAGUUAUUUGACUUGUGGUGUUAGGUUUGUUACCUAGUCACAAUAAUUCAAGCCUGCGUGCUACGUUAAUUAUCUAAACUGUUUUUGACUUGAUCAAGAGGUUGACAACAAUCUUCUUGGAAUUUGGACCUUCAGAAUUGGUGGACACGCUAAGAGAUUGUGAACUGAAAACCAACUUAUUAACAGCUCGGUCCCAUAAAAUUAAUUCUCUUUGUCCUGCAUCUAUUCCAAUGCAUUAUAUUCACAAGUUCUUGCUAGUUACACCUUAGCUUCACUUGGAUUGAAGCAACUGUAAAAGCCUUUUGAAAUUUUGAAGGAAGCCAGUCAGAUGGAUCCUUGGAAAAAAGGGCCAGAGCUAACGUCUGAGACUCUGAGGCAUUAUCUGAAGUUAAAGUCUAUCAAACAGCCGUGUCGAUAUCAAUGGAUAAGUAUGAUAAGUUUUCAAGAACUCAGAUAUUCAAUUAGAUGACCACCUCAUCAAAAGCUUUUACUAUUAGAGAGAGCACAGUUUUAUUUACUCAUGUAUGACUUCAAUACACCUUUAUAUGUGGUCCAGAUUUUUGUUUUCAUAGGCCAAAUGCAUGAAAUCUUUUUAACUUAAGGGUGGUUGUGAGACUUGAACUCCGGAUCUCUUCCUGCCUCGGUAACAAAUUCUGUUGUGUGACCAUCUUCUAAAAGCUUAAUUUGUCAGAUAGAACAAUCUUUUUUAUUUUUCUUUCGUUUUCAACAUUAUUGAAAGUCCAAAAAACUUAUUAAACUAAUACAACCAGAAAUUAUGUAUAAGAAUAGUCAAAAUCACAUCUAUAAUCAGUGUUUUGUACAAAAAGACCAUGUUUAACUCCUAUGGUAUAUCGAACAUGGUUUAGGUGGAGUGGAUUUUGUCCAACUUGUACAAGGAACACACACAACUAUCUAAAUGAAGUGUAUAAAACAGCAUGCACUUCACAAGCUGUCUCUCUCUAUAUGUGGGCUGUUAUCGUUUACACUCAGAAGAAGUAUGAAUGAGAAUGAUCAUAUUAGCUUGCGGUGUCUCUUUAUAUUUGGGUUGUUGCUGAUUUGAGUAGGCAAUGACCUGCUCAUGGUUUCCGAACCUAUAAUUUGCCUCGUUAAACCUUUUUAGACAGAGGUAACUAUUUGUACGAAAUGACUUCUCCAACCCUGACAAGUUAUCUGUUCCACUUUUAAUGCUGGAAUCAAAAUUUGGAUCGCUUAAAAUUAUGUGAUUUUUGUCGCUGAAAUGUUAUUGGCAUCUGUUAACAGGAACUCUUUCCUCUGAGAAACAUGGUAAUUCUUCAUUGUUGAAUGAUGAGAAUUUACAUCACAACCAUAAGAAUAUAGAAGGUUAUGAUGCUGCCGCUUCUUAUAUUCUAGAAGAAAAUGCAUAACAGCAUAGCUUAGAGUGAGAUUUUAUCAUAUUGACAUGGAAGAACUCACCACCAUGAAUUCUCAAUGCAAGAUAUGGAAGUAUAUAAGGUGGAUAAGCUAUUUAAUCUUUCUGAGUUAGAUUAUCAAUAACUGGGGGCUAACUGGUGUCACAAUCUAUUGUGCUACUCAUUGCCAGGGACCCAGCUCCUUCAUCAUCGUUCAUGUUUGUGUGGAGAUCUUGGCAAUAUUACAUACCGGGGUGUGUGGGAGGAGUAAAAUUCUUGAUCUUGAAUUUAGUUUACUGUUCAAAUGGAAUGAAAUUUAUCUUUUGUUUUGCUUGUAGUGUUCCUCGAGUUGUUUUCCAGCUGGUAUCUUCUUCUGUUCUCCUAUUUAUCCAGGAUAUAAAAUUGAGGUAUGAUGUUGGUUGUAGAUUCCAUGGUCGUUGAGCGGGCACGUGGUGAAUCCCAAAGCAUGUCAGGAUCUCUUCAGUCACUUUGCUGGGGUUCUUCAGCAUUGUUGAGAUCAUGUAAAUAAGCAAUGUAAAUAAAUUAGUUAGUUGUUGUAGUUAGUUACAAAAGUUACAAAUGUUAGUUAGAAAAUUGGUUACAAGUUAGUUAGAGAAAGAAUCUUAGUUAGUUAUUUUUCCUUCUCAUCAUCUUGUAUAUAUACCAACA